Molecule: ribosomal RNA, 108 nt
Filed under: Bacteroidales bacterium
Lineage: Bacteria; Pseudomonadati; Bacteroidota; Bacteroidia; Bacteroidales
Source: RNAcentral
UAUGGUGGCUAUAGCGGUGGUGUUCACCUCUUACCAUUCCGAACAGAGUCGUUAAGCCCACCAGCGCCGAUGGUACUGCUAACGCGGAAGAGUAGGUCGCCACCAAAC